Canis lupus familiaris (dog) is the source of this 82-nucleotide non-coding RNA. Lineage: Eukaryota; Metazoa; Chordata; Mammalia; Carnivora; Canidae. The record is from Rfam.
GCCUGGGUGGCUUAGUGGUUAAGCAUCUGCCUUUGACUCAGGGCCUGAUCCCAGGGUUGGGGAUCAAGUCCCACAUCAGGCU